This 358-nucleotide ribosomal RNA is filed under the name Zelleromyces sp. RNAcentral describes it as "LSU rRNA". It matches the Rfam family "Eukaryotic large subunit ribosomal RNA", at positions 114 to 462 of the family's 3401-position model. The record is from RNAcentral. Lineage: Eukaryota; Fungi; Basidiomycota; Agaricomycetes; Russulales; Russulaceae.
UUUAAAAUCUGGUGGUCUUUGGCCAUCCGAGUUGUAAUUUAGAGAAGCGUUUUCCGCGCUGGACCAUGCACAAGUCUCCUGGAAUGGAGCGUCAUAGAGGGUGAGAAUCCCGUCUUUGGCAUGGACAUGACCAGGGCUUUUGUGAUGCGCUCUCGAAGAGUCGAGUUGUUUGGGAAUGCAGCUCAAAAUGGGUGGUGAACUCCAUCUAAAGCUAAAUAUUGGCGAGAGACCGAUAGCGAACAAGUACCGUGAGGGAAAGAUGAAAAGCACUUUGGAAAGAGAGUGAAACAGUACGUGAAAUUGUUGAAAGGGAAACGCUUGAAGUCAGUCGCGUUGUCCAAGACUCAGCCUUGCCCUG